AACGAACGCUGGCGGCAGGCCUAACACAUGCAAGUCGAGCGAGGACUUCGGUUCUAGUGGCGGACGGGUGAGUAACGCGUGGGAAUGUGCCCUUCUCUACGGAAUAGCCCUGGGAAACUGGGAGUAAUACCGUAUACGCCCUAUUGGGGAAAGAUUUAUCGGAGAAGGAUCAGCCCGCGUUGGAUUAGGUAGUUGGUGGGGUAAUGGCCUACCAAGCCGACGAUCCAUAGCUGGUUUGAGAGGAUGAUCAACCACACUGGGACUGAGACACGGCCCAGACUCCUACGGGAGGCAGCAGUGGGGAAUCUUAGACAAUGGGGGCAACCCUGAUCUAGCCAUGCCGCGUGAGUGAUGAAGGCCUUAGGGUUGUAAAGCUCUUUCAGCUGGGAAGAUAAUGACGGUACCAGCAGAAGAAGCCCCGGCUAACUCCGUG
RNAcentral lists this ribosomal RNA (433 nucleotides) under uncultured bacterium. Its description in RNAcentral is "partial 16S ribosomal RNA". It matches the Rfam family "Bacterial small subunit ribosomal RNA", at positions 29 to 507 of the family's 1533-position model. The record is from RNAcentral.